Podarcis lilfordi (Lilford's wall lizard) is the source of this 203-nucleotide non-coding RNA. The record is from the annotation of a GenBank genome assembly. NCBI's taxonomy places the organism in Eukaryota, Metazoa, Chordata, Lepidosauria, Squamata, Lacertidae.
GUCCCACAUAGAGAUUUCUCAGGAGACAGAUGAGGUGAUCAGGCACUCCCAUUUCUUUAAGAACUUGCCAUAGUUUGCUGUGGUUGACACAGUCAAAGGCUUUUGCAUAGUCAAUGAAGCAGAAGUAGAUGUUUUUCUGGAACUCUCUAGCUUUCUCCAUAAUCCAGCGCAUGUUUGCAAUUUGGUCUCUGGUUCCUCUGCCC